UUGGAUUUCUGGUGAGAUGAAUUAUGUCUGGAUCGAAAGAUUCUGUUCAUGGUUUGUUUUGCCCUUCUUGUCAGGAACCCGUUGGGAUUUACUUCUCGACGGUGGAAUGGCAUCGUUUACUGUGAAAAAAUUAGAGUGUUCAAAGCAGGCAUCGCCGUUGAAUACAUUAGCAUGGAAUAAUAAGAUAAGACUUUGGUGGUCUAUUUUGUUGGUUUGCACGCCAAAGUAAUGAUUAAUAGGGAUAGUUGGGGGUAUUCGUAUUCUAUUGCUAGAGGUGAAAUUCUUAAAUUUAUGGAAGACGAACUACUGCGAAAGCAUUUACCAAGGAUGUUUUCAUUAAUCAAGAACGAAAGUUAGGGGAUCGAAGAUGAUUAGAUACCAUCGUAGUCUUAACCAUAAACUAUGCCGACUAGGGAUUAGCAGUUCACUAAUAAUUAGUUGCUGUUAGCACCUUAGGAGAAAUCAAAGUCUUUGGGUUCCGGGGGGAGUAUGGUCGCAAGGCUGAAACUUAAAGAAAUUGACGGA
This 525-nucleotide ribosomal RNA is filed under the name Stramenopile sp. RCC862. RNAcentral's name for it is "SSU rRNA". It matches the Rfam family "Eukaryotic small subunit ribosomal RNA", at positions 634 to 1160 of the family's 1831-position model. The record is from RNAcentral.